This 245-nucleotide ribosomal RNA is filed under the name uncultured bacterium. Its description in RNAcentral is "partial 16S ribosomal RNA". It matches the Rfam family "Bacterial small subunit ribosomal RNA", at positions 15 to 244 of the family's 1533-position model. The record is from RNAcentral.
GAUCCUGGCUCAGGACGAACGCUGGCGGCGUGCCUAACACUUGCAAGUCGAACGGAAAAUUGAGCUUCGGUUCAAUUUUAGUGGCGAACGGGUGAGUAACGCGUAGGCAACCUGCCCUUUAGACGGGGACAACAUUCCGAAAGGGAUGCUAAUACCGGAUGUGACGCUCUUAUCGCAUGACGGGAGCGUGAAAGAUGGCCUCUACAUGUAAGCUAUCGCUAAAGGAUGGGCCUGCGUCUGAUUAG